AGGCAACGCCUGCCCAGUGAAUAUUCAACGGCCGCGGUACCCUAACCGUGCAAAGGUAGCAUAAUCAUUUGUCUAUUAAUUGUAGACCGGCAUGAAUGGCAAAAUGAGGGUCCAACUGUCUCUUAUAGUAUAUCCAUUAAACUGAUCUCCUAGUAAAAAAGCUAGAAUAAUAACAUAAGACCAGAAGACCCUGUGAAGCUUAAAUUAAAUCAUUAAACUAAAUAAUGAUUACUUUCGGUUGGGGCGACCCUGGAAAAAAAAAGAACUUCCAAUCUAUGAAUACAUACAAUAGGCCCACAAGCCACAUAUGACCCAGUAUAACUGAUAAUUGAACCAAGUUACUCCAGGGAUAACAGCGCUAUCUUCUUCAAGAGCCCAUAUCAAAAAGAAGGUUUACGACCUCGAUGUUGGAUCAGGACACCCCAAUGGUGUAGCCGCUAUUAAAGGUUCGUUUGUUCAACGAUUAAUAGUCCUACGUGAUCU
This 483-nucleotide ribosomal RNA is filed under the name Plagiopholis blakewayi (Blakeways mountain snake). RNAcentral describes it as "partial 16S ribosomal RNA". It matches the Rfam family "Bacterial large subunit ribosomal RNA", at positions 1850 to 2606 of the family's 2925-position model. Lineage: Eukaryota; Metazoa; Chordata; Lepidosauria; Squamata; Colubridae. The record is from RNAcentral.